Zea mays is the source of this 331-nucleotide RNA transcript. RefSeq lists it as uncharacterized. The record is from RefSeq and is a predicted model, not a curated record. NCBI's taxonomy places the organism in Eukaryota, Viridiplantae, Streptophyta, Magnoliopsida, Poales, Poaceae. The transcript is spliced from 2 exons.
UGCCAAUCAACGUCCCAGGAACCAACUACAGCAAAGGGCUCCAGGCAAGGAAGAAGCUCGUGGCAAUGCUGCGGCAGAUGAUCGCUGACCGGAGGUCCUCUGGCUGCACCCGAGACGACAUGCUGGACGCGCUGCUCAGCGGCAACGAGGGUACCAGGGCGAAGCUCAGCGACGACCAAAUCAUCGACCUUCUCAUCACCCUCAUAUACUCUGGGUACGAGACUGUGUCGACCACCUCGAUGAUGGCGGUGAAGUACCUGUCCGACAACCCCAAAGCUCUCGGACAGAUAAGGGUACACAUAACUUCUGCAACCGAGCUCAAUUCCACAGC